UACGUAGGUGGCAAGCGUUGUCCGGAUUUACUGGGCGUAAAGAGCGCGCAGGCGGUCGGAUUAGUCGCGUGUGAAAGCCCCCGGCUCAACUGGGGAGGGUCACGCGAUACUGAUCGACUGGAAGGCAGGAGAGGGUAGUGGAAUUCCCGGUGUAGUGGUGAAAUGCGUAGAUAUCGGGAGGAACACCAGUGGCGAAGGCGACUACCUGGCCCGUUCUUGACGCUGAGGCGCGAAAGCUAGGGGAGCAUACGGG
RNAcentral lists this ribosomal RNA (253 nucleotides) under uncultured bacterium. RNAcentral describes it as "partial 16S ribosomal RNA". It matches the Rfam family "Bacterial small subunit ribosomal RNA", at positions 524 to 776 of the family's 1533-position model. The record is from RNAcentral.